Molecule: non-coding RNA, 508 nt
Organism: Chiloscyllium plagiosum (whitespotted bambooshark)
Lineage: Eukaryota; Metazoa; Chordata; Chondrichthyes; Orectolobiformes; Hemiscylliidae
Source: RefSeq, a predicted model, not a curated record
GUAAGGCGCACGCGCGAGAAUGGAUUGCAGGCUUUCCUUCACUCGCGCUCUCACACAUCUCUCGGGACGAGGUGCGUUCAAGCGCAUGCGCAUACCGUCUCCCUUCGGUGGAUGGGGCGGAGCGUGUGAACAAUAAGCCAGGAAGCGGGUCUUUCCGGCACGUGGAAUUGUAUCAGACUAGGUGUACACAGGAAGAGGCGAUGAAUCAUAGAGUACGUAUUGGUAUGAGAUGUAGUUACCAUUUUUUGGAUGCUAGCAGCAUAGUGAGACCAUGCAGACAUUAUGACAACAGACGAAUGGACACUGGGCAACAAUCACCAGACAGGAAUGUUUCCUCCCAGUUGGGUAACACUUCAGCAGCCAAGGACAAUCAGUCUCUGAUCUUCGGAUAAGUGUCCUCCAAGGCGGCCUUUGAGAUACAACAAUGCAAAAUCGCCGAGCAGAAACUGAUAGCCAUAUUCCGUGCCCAUGAAGAUGGCCUCAACUGUGAUCUUGGUGUCAUGUUGUU